This 3320-nucleotide long non-coding RNA is filed under the name Podarcis lilfordi (Lilford's wall lizard). Lineage: Eukaryota; Metazoa; Chordata; Lepidosauria; Squamata; Lacertidae. The record is from RNAcentral.
UCAUGAAUUGCUUGUUCAUACACUUUGACUGUUUCAGGGUAAUGUCUGAAUUUGCUGUUAGAAAUAAAAUGCAGAACCGGGACCUGAAGCAUAAAUAAUAAUAAAUAAAUAAAUCCAGGGAUUCUUCACUACCAUGCCCAGCAACACAACAGCAAGACACACGUGUGUGUGUGUGUGUGUGUGAGAGAGAGAGAGAGAGAGAGAGAGAGAGUGUCAGUCAGUCAUGCCAAGUUUCCCUAUCCCAAUUUGGUGCACUUCUCCCCAGUGUACACUUAUACAGUGCAAAGGUCUGUAGAGAGGGAUCAUUUCACAACUAGGGUGGUAUGUGCAAAUGCUUCCAUGGAAUUUGGAAUGCUGGUUGUUCAGGCUUCCAAAUUCCGGGGAGUUUUUGUGCACAGAAGUAUACACGCAAAAAAACAAUAACCCCUUCCCAGGGCAAUUUCCACUGUAUGUACAGAUGUGGAGGAGGACCUAGAUAAGAGUGUAUGACACUGGAGGCAGGACUACUAGGUGUAUCCUCACUUCUUGUUCCUUUAGGGUGAAGGGCAAGAAAUAAAUAAUAAACUUACUGAAAACAAGAGUGAAAAAGUCUUGCAUAGGGCUAAUGUAGAGCAGCAAGUUAAACAACCCUCUGCAUUCUACCUGCUUCCCAUCUGCUGCGGCCCUGCUUUUAGGUCCUUCCCCUCCCCUACAAAGACGUUUUGUGCCUUUUGUAAAAUGGGGGGGCUCCUCUGAGCAGGUGGGCACCUCUGUAUUGUUUCUCCGUGGCCCUGUUGUGUCUGCAGUCCUGUUGGCACUCGCCAGCUGAGUGUGCUUUUAGGUGGAGGGUUGAUUGUUCAGGACAGCUGUGUGUCUGCAUUCUGGAGCCAGUGCAGCUCCCCUUAUGCAACAGGCUUUGAGUAACAGCACUGUCUGCCAUGGCAUUACUUGUUUAUAAGAAAAGGUUGUCUGAUUAUUCCCCCAGAUAGUGCUGUUACCUCCCUUUACAGGAGUAUGAAAGGAUUUGUUCCCACUUCUACUACUAUCUGACUGGGCUUUAAUGUUCUUGAUUACCAGUGACCCAAAAAGUCUGCUGAGCAUCCCUUUUAUGGAGUGUGUGCCGGCAAAGCUUGAAGUCUUUCCUUCCCUCUAGGCUUCACUCUGUUAUUGUGUCUAGUCUGUCAGCUGAAAUGCCGUAUUUCGUUCAUUGUGCUUUGCAGGGAAAUGCUUGAUCUAAUAAUGUUUUGAAUAUUUUAGAAAGGUUUCGAUAUCAGAAAACCCAGGAAUAUUUGAAAAGGUUGGAAGCUUUGCAGUGCAUGUUUUUCAUCAUUCAGAUCUUCUAGUUCUGAUUUUCCUCUUAAACUAGUUUCUUGCUCCCCCCCUCCUGAUACAAUCCAUGAACUGUACACACACACACACACACACACACACACACACACACACACAGUAUUGUAUGAAGGUGCUUGAAAGAUAUACCAUUGGAAAGAGAAAAUAGUUAACUGUCUGGAUCCAUUUUUCCACUCAGUGCUUUGCACAUGGUUGCUCUGGAGCAGUUUCCCCCAUCCCAGGUCCCCGGUUGUUAGAAUCCUAGAAUUGCAGAGUUGGAAGGGACCCAGAGGGUCAUCCAGUCCACCCCUGCAAUGUUGUUGGCCUACAAUCCCCUCCUCCCAUUAUCUCCAACUACCAUGGUGAGAAGUCCAGGAGUUAUAGAGUGCAAUGACAUCUGUUGACCAAGGGUUGGAGAAGGCUGCUCUAGAAUCAUCUGUUUCAGACUGAAUGGCUUCCAUAUGCCUGUCUCUUCCUCAGGAAUCCCAUGGGCCUGCCAUUCUGAAGAAGCUGAGCCUUCAAAGCAUGGAUUUGGGAGUUUGGAUUCACAGUAGGGGGAUGGGACAUCCUUCAGCUCCUUCUCUUCCCUCAGAUGUGCUCACAAACCUGCCAUGAGCUCCCCCCUGGUUACAAAUAUUGAUGUAAGGCAGAGAAGGCGGCCGGAUGAAGCCCAAGGGCCCAGCCUCAUCCGGCCUUCAGCAGAGCCCCCAAAACUUCUGCUUUCUCACACACCUCAGUAGCUUUCUCACAAGCUAAGUCAUAGGCAAAGGCUUAUUAUUAUUCCUAUCUGGCUUCCAGCAUCUUCUGAAAGAAGGUAAUCAUGCUUAGCAUAUUUUCAGAUUAAAGUAAUGGGCACUUUUCACUCUACAUGUCUUCCCUACAUUCCCUACAGCAUGGCUUUCUGAUAUGGCUACGGUAAUAUUGUCAAUAUCUAAAUCAGGUGUGGAGGACAUUUUGCCCUCCAGAUGUUUCUAAACUGCAACUCCCAUCAGUCUCAGCAAGCAUGGCCAAGGAUGAUAGGAGUUGCGAUUCUGCAACAUCUGGAGGGCCAAAGGUACCCCCACAUCUGAUCUAAACUAUACAAAAAUCCACAGGCCUUUUAAUAUGUAGUUCAAUUCAGGCAACCCUUCGAAUGGGGUUAAAAGCAGUGGGCAAUUUCUUUCUAAAUCAAACAAACUUUUUAAAAUAGAAAAGUUAUUCGUUUCAUCAGAGGUGAAAUGAGGAACCAUUUCAGUGAACUUCUUUAGGAUUUUAGAAUUUAUGAUAGAAAGCUGGACAUCAGAUGUGCUGCUCUUUGUCAGUUGGAAUCAGUAAGCAAUCUUGUUUUUGUUCUGCUGAAUAACUUAAUUCAAUAUCAUUUCAAGCAACUGUGGUUCUUCCCAAUAACUUUCCUGUUGUUUUUAACUGAAGGGAACAUUGUGCUGCUUCAGGAAGAUAAGGCUGACAAGAAGAACGAGAAACUAUUUACUGAGAAUUAUCACCUGUUUUUUUUUCUAGUUAUAAAACUGCAGAGAAUAGUUUCAUUGACUUCUUAUGUUUGGGAACUGCUCAGUAGUUAACAAGGUGUUAAUAAUGUGUUUGUUCAGUCCCUUCUGGACAACCUGGACCAUAGAAACAAAAGUUCUCUUAUUUUAUUUGUUUGUUUUAAAUGUCAUGGUUUGGAGAAGGCUAAAAUUCUAUCCUAUCAGUCAAUCAACCACAAUAUUUAUCUGGAUUAGUCAACAUUCACCAGCUUUCAAAAAGGAUGUUAAAUUUAACACCUGAUAAAUACCUUAAUCCUAAAUGCAUUUGUUUGGAAGCAGGUCCCAUUGACUUCCUUGGAUAUUCAUUUUCAGUAAGGACAGUUCCACUGUGGGAAACAUUGAUGUUUCUGGUAGAAAAUACAUAAAAUGUGGGCAUCAUACAGGAAUCUGGAUAACACUGGACAUCCGUGUACCCCAUUAACCCUUUACAUGCUUGCUGCCUUCAGUGGUGAAAAGUAGAAUUUCUGCUGAAACUGCCCAGAUAAAAGUUCC